Molecule: transfer RNA, 65 nt
Filed under: Dipodomys ordii (Ord's kangaroo rat)
Lineage: Eukaryota; Metazoa; Chordata; Mammalia; Rodentia; Heteromyidae
Rfam family: tRNA
About the family: Transfer RNA (tRNA) molecules are approximately 80 nucleotides in length. Their secondary structure includes four short double-helical elements and three loops (D, anti-codon, and T loops).
Source: Rfam by way of RNAcentral
GGUGGCUCAGUGGUAGAGUGCUUGCCUCCGGUGCAUGAGACCCUGGGUUCGAUUCCUCAGCACCA